AGCGAGACGGUAUUUGACUCUUGGACUGUCUUCGACUGGCAUUGGAGGGCCUUUUGGAAACUUAAUUUGAGCAGCGUCGAGGCUCCGUUGAGCAGGGUUCGGGACUCCUUUUGGCUGGAUUGAGCUUGGUGAUAGAGCCUUCCACAGCGGGAAAGGCUAGGGUUCCUGGCGAGGG
Ananas comosus (pineapple) is the source of this 175-nucleotide long non-coding RNA. RefSeq lists it as uncharacterized. The record is from RefSeq and is a predicted model, not a curated record. NCBI's taxonomy places the organism in Eukaryota, Viridiplantae, Streptophyta, Magnoliopsida, Poales, Bromeliaceae. The transcript is spliced from 3 exons.